RNAcentral lists this ribosomal RNA (482 nucleotides) under uncultured bacterium. RNAcentral's name for it is "partial 16S ribosomal RNA". It matches the Rfam family "Bacterial small subunit ribosomal RNA", at positions 30 to 507 of the family's 1533-position model. The record is from RNAcentral.
AUUGAACGCUGGCGGCAUGCCUUACACAUGCAAGUCGAACGGCAACGGGCCUUCGGGUGCCGCCGAGUGGCGAACGGGUGAGUAAUACAUCGGAACGUGCCCGAUCGUGGGGGAUAACGAGGCGAAAGCUUUGCUAAUACCGCAUACGAUCUACGGAUGAAAGCAGGGGACCGCAAGGCCUUGCGCGGACGGAGCGGCCGAUGGCAGAUUAGGUAGUUGGUGGGAUAAAAGCUUACCAAGCCGACGAUCUGUAGCUGGUCUGAGAGGAUGAUCAGCCACACUGGGACUGAGACACGGCCCAGACUCCUACGGGAGGCAGCAGUGGGGAAUUUUGGACAAUGGGCGCAAGCCUGAUCCAGCCAUGCCGCGUGCAGGAUGAAGGCCUUCGGGUUGUAAACUGCUUUUGUACGGAACGAAAAGCCUUCUUUUAAUACAGGAGGGUCAUGACGGUACCGUAAGAAUAAGCACCGGCUAACUACGUG